This 1533-nucleotide long non-coding RNA is filed under the name Physcomitrium patens. RNAcentral's name for it is "long non-coding RNA (PPAT_LNC010914)". Lineage: Eukaryota; Viridiplantae; Streptophyta; Bryopsida; Funariales; Funariaceae. The record is from RNAcentral.
UUCAUCUUUUAGUCUAAAUGUGAUGGUGACCAAUCCUCAUAAAGAAAACCCGCACACAUUAAGAACCCUCAUUAAUUUUCUCUUAUUCUUUUGGUUUGUUGGUUUGUGGAACUUUAAAUUCAGGCACAUCACACCCUUACAACUCAUGGAAUAAGUUCUUAAAUUAGUCUCUAUAAAGUACACUUACACAACUGUAUCCAUCUAAGCAAGUUCCUUUCAUUUUUAUGGCCACAUAUUCUUUUCAGCUGAAGUAAAAUUGAAUUCAUGGUUAGAUGAGUGACCAAGCAAGGCUUUUGCCUUAAGUAUGGCAUUUUCUUAAUCCUCACCAAUGUAACCACACUUUGUACUUCGAAUGUACAAUCAACUGAUUUUAAAACAUGAUUUAAAAUCCUUGUACAUACUCAGUGUCUCCUGAAUGAAAUCUAGUUUAGAACUGAACUAUUUGAACUUUAAAAUAACAAGAAUGGUGGGGUGAAUAAUUUUAAUGGUAUUGUAUUUUUCCUCACUGAGGCAUUGUACUUGUUGGUACCCAAGUAGACCAGUACCUUCAUAAACAACCAGGGCUUGCUUGUAUAUUUUCCCAUAAAUGGACGCCUUCUAGAACCUUCACCUGCCGAAUGUACUUACAACCCCAACUCCUGCAGAGAUGCUUCCAGUAAAAACAUACAAAGAUUAUAUACAUAUAUUUGUACGAUUUAUUAUUUUUAUACAUACAUACAUACAUACAGAUGUGUGCGUGUGUGUGUGUGUGUGUACAUUCAAGUUGGUUUACUUCCCUAAAACUUACUGAGAGUUACAGUAAUGCUGCAAAAUAUUGUCUGUGUUUGUGGACAAUUAUGGGUGGAGUAAAGGACAGCCAUGUUAGAGGCUUGCACUAUUACCACAGUGUGAUGGCAAUACCUCCACAUCCUUCAGCAUUCAUUGUGCUGUAUAUACAGUGGGUCACCAGUGCAGCAAGUACAGUGGGUCACUGUGGAAACAGGGAGCGUUUGACGAGGUCAACACUACGUCAUGCCCACUUCAAAAUUAGGCUCAUUAAAUGAAUCAUGUUGACAAUCUAUUGCAAGACAGAGUAGGUUUGGCAUUGAAAACCCUAAAGUGCAAUAUGUUGCAUUGACACAGCAGCCACAACCUCCACACAGGAAUCUAAGGUUGCUGGGAGUUUUUGGCACAAAAAAUACAUACAAUGAAGGGAUCACUGCUGGCACACUGCCCCAUCAUCAGUAAGUGACAGAGCAUAGUGUUAGAGAAAAAACAGGGACAAGAAAAUAAUAAUAAUAAUAAGAAUCAUCAUCAUAAUAAUAAUUCAUAAGAACUACCCUGCUACACCACCCUUCUAUAAAAAGCAGCAGCAGAGGUUUCUUACAAGAGCAUCUUUUCUUUUUCAGAAGCUGGUGAUGUGCAGGUAUAUUCUGCACAGUACAGCAACAAAGUAUCACAAUAAAAAAGCCACUUCAAUGUUGCAAAUCAUCUUGGUGUACUUACAUCUCACAUAUCAAAUCAACUAUGUUCAUGUGCAAAGACUGUGCUGCC